Non-coding RNA from Misgurnus anguillicaudatus (oriental weatherfish), 506 nucleotides. Lineage: Eukaryota; Metazoa; Chordata; Actinopteri; Cypriniformes; Cobitidae. The record is from the annotation of a RefSeq genome assembly.
GGUCUGUGAAAAGAUACUAAAGAUAAAUUUGCAUAGAGACUCUUUGCAUUGGAAAGACUUGAGGAUUUUUUAUAGACGCAUCAGAAGUUCAUCAUCAGAAAUCUAAACUCACAGUCACCAUGACCUUCAUCAGCAUCUUCAUCUGGAUGUUAACUUGUUUCUGUUUCAGAGAAUCAAGAGGUGAAGUGACCGUCAUUCAGACACCUGCAGUCAAAUCUGUUCAUCUACGAGACACAGUUACUAUCACCUGUAAAACUAACCCUGAAGUCUACCAGAGCUGGAGUUAUCAGCCUUUAUCCUGGUACUUACAGAAACCUGGAAAAGCUCCUAAACUCUUGAUAUAUGCUGCAAACAGCCGUCAGUCGGGAACUCCAUCAAGAUUCAGUGGCAGUGGAUCUAAAACAGAUUUUACUCUGAGCAUCAGUGAAGUUCAGACUGAAGAUGCAGGAGAUUAUUACUGUAUGGGUAGACACUACAUCAACAGUAAAUAUGUGUUCACACAGUGA